RNAcentral lists this long non-coding RNA (5501 nucleotides) under Populus tremula. Its description in RNAcentral is "long non-coding RNA (PTRE_LNC002211)". The record is from RNAcentral. Lineage: Eukaryota; Viridiplantae; Streptophyta; Magnoliopsida; Malpighiales; Salicaceae.
AACACCAAAUAAUCAGUAACACCAUUUAAGACCUAAACUAUUAAAGCAUUCUUUAGCUUAGAUUUUGGAAGAAAAUUCCCUUACUUUUUUCUGAUAUUAGCUAAUCACUUCCAAAGAGAAUCCUAAUUGAAAACAACCAACAAAAGACUUGAACUUUCUCUUGUUUUCAUGACUAAUCUCAGCAGCCAAACUAAAAGGAGAGUAAUUCACCAAGCAUGGGCAUACAGUAUUCAUCUAUGAUGGUUAUCCCAAGAUCCCAAAUGGAUCAUCUUUAAAUCCUUGAUUAUGUAUUUGAAUCAGAAAACAACAUAAAAACAGAGAGAUUUGGGGUUUGAAGUGAUUACCAGAAGACGAGGAGGGACUUUCAUGGAGCAAACAACACGCCCAGGUUCAAUGAGAUCAAUAUGAAGGCCUUGCAUUAUAAAUCUUUCAAAGAAUCUGAGAGGCAUUUUUUCAAUGGUUGAUGCAUUCUUGUCUUCUUCAUAUCCUCCUGUCUCUACGUAUCUCUUCACUGAUUCCAAAUCCAUUUUUCUUUCUUCCCUUUGUCUCAGGCAAAGGUAUGUUUGUUGAAAGAGUGAUGGGCAAAGACGCAAAGGAAUACUGCCCUUCCCGUUGACCCAUAAUAACUGGAUUAUAAGACAUGUGAGGUGAGAUGCUGAGUUUAUUUUUUUAAAAUUAUGGGUUUGAAUUUUAUAAAUUUUUAAAUUAUUAUAAAUUUAUAUAGUUAAUAAUUUUAAAAUUAUUAAAAUUAAUAUAUAUAUAUAUAUAUAUAUAAAUUACCUGAAUAUUCACAUUAAUUAAAAACUAAAAUUCUAAAACAUGAGAAAUAGGGUUAGGAAUUGUAUCAUGAUUUUUCCCUAGUUUGAGAAAAUUACCAAGAACUUCAAUUUUAAUUCUCUCAUUAAAAAAAGUUCGACUGUUUCUGUAAAAAAAUCAAUUUUAAUACCUUUUAUUGUCAAUUAAACUGCUAGCACCAAUCAUUAUCUUCCCAAUCCCACAUAAAUACUAAAGAAACAUAAUUAAUUGCUUCACCUUUUUCUAUGUGAUCAUGAAUUAUUUUUUAUUUAUUUUUUUCUAUGAAAAGAAAGAGACGGAAUAUAUGGGGGAAUAAACGAAAUCUACAGGGUAUUAUCUUAUCUUUUAUUUAAACCUUGAAAGAUCACAACAUAUUAAAAUCUCGAAUUAACUUGAAAAAUAUUAUAAAAUUGUAAGUUAAUAUAUAUUUAAGGUGUUAAAUCAGAUUAAAAACUUGAAACUAGAAAAAUUAGAUUUAAUUCAUGCAAAAUCAAUAAAAUUGAUAAACUUGGUCUGAUUUGACGAGUUUACUAAAUUUGUGAUAUGAACCAAGUUAAGUCUUAAUUUGACCUUAAAAUAUCUACUAAUUAGUUUUACGAGAUUGAAUAUAUCUUUUAAACCGUAAAUUGGAUAAAGCUUAAAUUUAAUAGAAAAAUAUUAGAUAUAUAAAAAUAUAUUAUGGUAAAUUUUCAGAUUAAAUGGAGUUAGAGAAUAUAAUAUUUCAAAUGGUCAAAGUUAGUAAACUAACAUCCUUAAAUAUAUCAAACAAGACCUUUUUGCACUGUUUGGGACAUAUCUAGAUCUACCGUUGGAAUUUUGCUUCGAUUAAAGUAGGGAUAGAAACUAGACAUUUAAAACUUUUCAACUAUAUAUUAUAGGGCCAAUAAUUCAUCCAAACGAGAGAGAAUGAUAUGUUUGAAAUCAGGACUUAAAUCUGCCAAUAAUAUGUAAAAAAUAGAGAUUUAGGCUUAUGGAGGAAUUUUAACAUGAAUACUUUUUUUAUUAUUAUUCUAUUUUAUUUAUUUAUUUAUUUUUAAAUAAUUAUUUUUAAUUUGAUUUUUUCUUAGGACAUUAGACAUUGUUUAGGGGUUUAUUUUAUUAUUGAAUUUAUGUUAGUUAAUUACUAAUUUAAACUCAUUAACUUGCAACCCGAAAAGGGUCUAUCAAGACUUAUUGUGAUGGGAACAACCAGGUUGUCACUAGAUUUAUGUGUGCUUUAUACUUUUCAGUGAUUCUUCUAUAUUGAGAAAUUGUGUUUUGAGACUUUUUAUUUCUCAAUGUCAUUACUUUAUUAAUUCAUAUUAUAUAUCUCUCUCAUUUUAUUUAAAUCACUCAUUGAUUAUAAUAUUGAUGAUUUAUUUUAUCAGAUGUUAAUGUAAAUUAAUUUCCUAGCUAGAAUUAUCAAUAUAUAAUCAGUUAAAAAACUUACUUAUGAUUUUACAAUUCGAGUUUACGAUCCAAGUUUAUAUUAUAUUUUUCAUGUCGUGUCAAAAAAAUAUUUUUGAUAACCUUGAUCACAAUUCAAUAACAACAGCUUUAAGAGAUUGAUCUAGCAGUUAAAAUGUUUUGUUCCUUUUUAGGAUAUAUAUAUAUAUAUAUAUAUAUAUAUAUAUUUUUAAUUAAAUUAUUUUAAAUAUAUCAUGCUAAUAUGAGAUAUAUAACGUCCAAGGUAAAAAAAAAACCUUAUUUUUAUGAAUAAAGUUGAGUUUUCUAGGCCUAAACAUUUUUUAAAAAUCAUUCUAAUAUGAAUAUUCCUUUUAACUUCUUGGGUUUUUCCCCUUUUUUUUUUUUUUUUUUUUGUAUUUUUAGGAUUCCAAAAUUAGAUUGUUUGGCAUAAAUGUUUUUUAAUUAAUGGAAAAUACCAAAUACAUGGCAAUGGAAAAGUAAAAAUUAUAUUAUUGAUGACCCAAUUAACAAUAAAUAAAUAGACUCAACUAGGUGAGUUUGUUCAUGGUGAUUUUUUUUAUUGUAAUUAAUUUUAUAUAAUGUAAGCAAAUUUCAAUUAAUUUGUUUUUAUUUCUUUCCUGUUAAUCAUAUACCUUUUCUUUUAUCAAGUUAAUAAUUUAUUUUUUCUUUUUAAAAUCUUUGUGUAGCCAUAUGUGCUUUUAACAUAGUUUGUUAACUAUUCUUGAGGGUCUUAAAUAUUCUUUAGCUUCAAAUGCAAGGCUGAAAUUGAGACUGCAAAGUAGUAUGGGGGACCAAUUUGGAUAUAAAAGGUUCUUUUUUAAAACCGGCUUGAUUCCAGCCCUGGAACCGCCGAAAUUCAGGUCAACCCGUCGAAUCAGACCGGGUUUCAAAACUAUAAAAAAACAUAUCCUCUUUAUCUUAGUUAUCUCUGUUUGUUUUUUUUUAAUCAAAACAGUAACCAAAAUGCUACAAGAUAUGCUUUGGUGAUGUAUUUACAAGUUGGUGCCCAGAUUUCAGAGAAAUGAAGGGAUUUUUAACAAAAUAAAAUUCCCCGCAAUUACAUCUUUCUUUUCCCUCUUUAUAAUUAAGUAGUUUACUUUGCCAGCCUUAGGAGUGAAGGCCCUCUCAAAUCACCUUCAUGCUGCAGCAAGAACAUUCAAAUUGCUACAAAGGGAACCAUUUCUCAUCAGGUUUUUGUGCACCAUAGACUCUGCAAAGGUACUUUAGGCAGGUAAGGUUAAAGCCAACUAUACUGUGGAUAAAUCAUAGGAAGAAGAUGUUCUAAGCUGUUUUCCUUGUCCAAUAUCUGAUGAGUAGCCUAAACACAAUCGAUAUUAUAUUUCAGUUCAUUAAUUUAUGAAAUAAAAUCAUUGCAUUGCAUAGAAAAUGCUGUCUUGAACUGCAGGAGAAAUUCGGAAAGGAGCGGCAACAAUAUGCGAGGAGGACAACCAAAUUUACUGCUCAGCAUGGCUGUCAGAGUGUCAAACUCUCCAUCAUUCAACUCAUCUGACAAAUAUUUUUAUCCCCGGAUGAGAAAGAUACAAAGCCUGUUGACUCUGAUGCUUGCUUGAUGGGAGCUUAGGGGUCCGAUCUCUGGAAACUGGUCUAAAACCGUAUUUCUUCCAGAGCAGAGAAUGUGCAGUGUUUGAUGCGUUAUUCAGUGAUGCAUUAUUGGUUCUCGAGAACGAACUACCACGAAAGACUUGCAAGCCAUUUACAUUUUACUGGAAAUAAGAAAGUACUUGGUAUGACGCCCUUGAGCAAUAAUUGCCCCACUCUUUUUUUUCCUGAAAUCAACACUCGCAGAUCCAACAGCUUUGCCUGCACGUAGAACCCUGGCUUCAAUCUCGAUUUCGUCCUGAAUGAACAGAAACAGAAAACUUCGUAAGACUGGCAAGUCUAAUGUUGUUUAUGAUUCAGUAGUUUUUACAUGUACGAUGGAACAUCCACACAUCUACACAGCUGCUAUGAUGAAUGGAAUCAACGCUACAUAUCAGCAUUGAGGUUUAUUUUACUCCAUCUUGUUGUUCUACAAAUCUUAGAUUUCCCUUACUCCAUCUUGACCAAAACUUCUUGCUCGUCAACAAACAGAAUGGACCUAAUAGUUCAUCUAAUCAAAUAAAUAAAACAUUGCACAAAAAACUUCAAUACAAUUUCCUAACUUCAAUUCAAUUUCCUACUUCAACUUAUCAUACUCCAAAGUGAGUUGACAGUGACAGAACUCAUAUGAUGGCAGCUGCAAUUAAACGUAAGCAACCUCAAAACUUAGAAAUCUACAAUAAGGCUUGCUACAUCUAAGUUCGAUAGGGUUUCAGAUAAAAUUGAUAGCAAUAUGAAUCAAAUUCUUCAUCAAUUAGGCCUAGUAUUGAAACCGUUACCAAAAGAAACAACAGACAUAGGUAAGUCAACAUGUUUAACCAUAAAAAAAUGCAUUUAACAAUUCUUUGAUUUGAAAAAGAUUUCCUUAUCCACUCUGUCAAAUAUUCAAGAAAUUAUGGUUGGAAUUGUGCUAUCAAUUGUAUUGAAGAAACAAAAUUAACACAAAGAAACGAGUAUCGAAAAAUAGAGAGGGGGGAAUGAUACCCACAUCAGCAUAAGCAGCAUCCAAGUAUGAAACAUUAAUAUCCACAGAAACUCCUGUUAAGAACACUCCUGCUGCGAUCAGUGCAGCUGACCCUACCACAUCAACCAGCAUUGCUGUAGCCCCAGCAUGCAAGCAAUCGCUACCGUUCUUCACAAUAAGCCAUCAAGCAAAACCCCAAUAAUCAGCAACACCCUUUAAAACCAAAAUGAUUAAAUCAUUGCUUGGCUUAAAAUUAUGGAACAAAUUUACGAACUGUUCAGUAUUUUAUCUCAAAACAAGAAUAUAAAGAAAAUUACUUCCAAAAAAAUCCUAACUAAAGAGCAGACAUAAAAAAAAUCUCAACUUUCUCUUGGUCAUCAUGAGUUAUCUGAACGACCAAACUAAAUGGAGGGUAAUCCAAACCAUUUCUCUAAUUUGCCUUAGUUCUGUUGUCAAAACCAAUCAAGGGAAAACAAUAGUCCGCCGUGGAAGUUAUCCCAGGAAUCCAAAGGAGUCAUCUUGAGAUCCUUGAUUAUGCAUUUGAAUAAGUUGAUAGCAAUAAAGCACAGAGUUUGAGGUUUGAAGUGGUUACCAGAAGACGAGGAGGGACUUUCAUGGAGCAAACAACACGCCCAGGUUCGAUGAGAUCAAUAUGAAGGCCUUCCAAUACGAAUCUUUCAAAGAAUCUGAGUGGCAUUUCUUCAAUUUUUGAUGCUCUCUUGUCAUCUUCAUGUCC